UGAGUACGAGUUUGAUCAGUGGACUCGAGGACGAACGCUGGCGGCGUGCCUAACACAUGCAAGUCGAACGGAGUUGCCCUUCGGGGUAACUUAGUGGCGAACGGGUGAGUAACGCGUGAGAAACCUGCCUUUCAGUGGGGGACAACAGUUGGAAACGACUGCUAAUACCGCAUAACAUAUUCGGGGGGCAUCCCCUGAAUAUCAAAGCUUAAUGUGCUGAAAGAUGGUCUCGCGUCUGAUUAGCUAGAUGGCGGGGUAACGGCCCACCAUGGCGACGAUCAGUAGCCGGUCUGAGAGGAUGAACGGCCACAUUGGGACUGAGAUACGGCCCAGACUCCUACGGGAGGCAGCAGUGGGGAAUAUUGGGCAAUGGGGGAAACCCUGACCCAGCAACGCCGCGUGAAGGAAGAAGGCCUUCGGGUUGUAAACUUCUUUUAGUAGGGACGAAUACGUGACGGUACCUACAGAAAAAGCAACGGCUAACUACGUG
RNAcentral lists this ribosomal RNA (490 nucleotides) under uncultured bacterium. RNAcentral's name for it is "bacterial SSU rRNA". It matches the Rfam family "Bacterial small subunit ribosomal RNA", at positions 1 to 507 of the family's 1533-position model. The record is from RNAcentral.